RNAcentral lists this ribosomal RNA (468 nucleotides) under uncultured bacterium. RNAcentral describes it as "partial 16S ribosomal RNA". It matches the Rfam family "Bacterial small subunit ribosomal RNA", at positions 28 to 507 of the family's 1533-position model. The record is from RNAcentral.
GACGAACGCUGGCGGCGUGCUUAACACAUGCAAGUCGAACGGAGAGGCCCUGCUUUUGUGGGGUGCUCGAGUGGCGAACGGGUGAGUAACACGUGAGUAACCUGCCCUUGACUUUGGGAUAACUUCAGGAAACUGGGGCUAAUACCGGAUAGGAGCUCCUGCUGCAUGGUGGGGGUUGGAAAGUUUCGGCGGUUGGGGAUGGACUCGCGGCUUAUCAGCUUGUUGGUGGGGUAGUGGCUUACCAAGGCUUUGACGGGUAGCCGGCCUGAGAGGGUGACCGGCCACAUUGGGACUGAGAUACGGACCAGAGUCCUACGGGAGGCAGCAGUGGGGAAUAUUGCACAAUGGGCGGAAGCCUGAUGCAGCAACGCCGCGUGCGGGAUGACGGCCUUCGGGUUGUAAACCGCUUUCGCCUGUGACGAAGCGUGAGUGACGGUAAUGGGUAAAGAAGCACCGGCUAACUACGUG